UGAGGAAUAUUGGUCAAUGGACGAGAGUCUGAACCAGCCAAGUAGCGUGAAGGAUGACUGCCCUAUGGGUUGUAAACUUCUUUUAUAUGGGAAUAAAAUGUUCCACGUGUGGGAUUUUGUAUGUACCAUAUGAUAAGGAUCGGCUAACUCCGUGCC
Molecule: ribosomal RNA, 156 nt
Filed under: uncultured bacterium
Lineage: Bacteria
Description: partial 16S ribosomal RNA
Rfam family: Bacterial small subunit ribosomal RNA
Source: RNAcentral